Molecule: ribosomal RNA, 508 nt
Filed under: uncultured bacterium
Lineage: Bacteria
Description: partial 16S ribosomal RNA
Rfam family: Bacterial small subunit ribosomal RNA
Source: RNAcentral
GAUGAACGCUAGCUACAGGCUUAACACAUGCAAGUCGAGGGGAAACGACAUCGAAAGCUUGCUUUUGAUGGGCGUCGACCGGCGCACGGGUGAGUAACGCGUAUCCAACCUGCCCACCACUUGGGGAUAACCUUGCGAAAGUAAGACUAAUACCCAAUGACGUCUCUAGAAGACAUCUGAAGGAGAUUAAAGAUUUAUCGGUGAUGGAUGGGGAUGCGUCUGAUUAGCUUGUUGGCGGGGUAACGGCCCACCAAGGCGACGAUCAGUAGGGGUUCUGAGAGGAAGGUCCCCCACAUUGGAACUGAGACACGGUCCAAACUCCUACGGGAGGCAGCAGUGAGGAAUAUUGGUCAAUGGACGAGAGUCUGAACCAGCCAAGUAGCGUGCAGGAUGACGGCCCUAUGGGUUGUAAACUGCUUUUAUAAGGGAAUAAAGUGAGUCUCGUGAGACUUUUUGCAUGUACCUUACGAAUAAGGACCGGCUAAUUCCGUGCCAGCCGCCGCGGUAA